AACGAACGCUGGCGGCAUGCCUAACACAUGCAAGUCGAACGAGACCUUCGGGUCUAGUGGCGCACGGGUGCGUAACGCGUGGUAACCUGCCCUUAGGUUCGGAAUAACUCCCCGAAAGGGGUGCUAAUACCGGAUAAUCUCUUCGGACCAAAGAUUUAUCGCCUUUGGAUGGGCCCGCGUUGGAUUAGCUAGUUGGUAGGGUAAAAGCCUACCAAGGCGACGAUCCAUAGCUGGUCUGAGAGGAUGAUCAGCCACACUGGGACUGAGACACGGCCCAGACUGCUACGGGAGGCAGCAGUGGGGAAUAUUGGAAAAUGGGCGAAAGCCUGAUAAAGCAAUGCCGCGUGAGUGAUGAAGGCCUUAGGGUUGUAAAGCUCUUUUACCCGGGAUGAUAAUGACAGUACCGGGAGAAUAAGCACCGGCUAACUCCGUG
This 433-nucleotide ribosomal RNA is filed under the name uncultured bacterium. RNAcentral describes it as "partial 16S ribosomal RNA". It matches the Rfam family "Bacterial small subunit ribosomal RNA", at positions 29 to 507 of the family's 1533-position model. The record is from RNAcentral.